CUGGUACAAAGGGUUGCAACCCGCGAGGGGAGCCAAUCCCAUAAAGCCAGUCGUAGUCCGGAUCGUAGUCUGCAACUCGACUACGUGAAGUCGGAAUCGCUAGUAAUCGUGGAUCAGAAUGUCACGGUGAAUACGUUCCCGGGUCUU
This 147-nucleotide ribosomal RNA is filed under the name uncultured Rhodoferax sp. RNAcentral describes it as "partial 16S ribosomal RNA". It matches the Rfam family "Bacterial small subunit ribosomal RNA", at positions 1234 to 1382 of the family's 1533-position model. Lineage: Bacteria; Pseudomonadati; Pseudomonadota; Betaproteobacteria; Burkholderiales; Comamonadaceae. The record is from RNAcentral.